Molecule: ribosomal RNA, 253 nt
Filed under: uncultured bacterium
Lineage: Bacteria
Description: partial 16S ribosomal RNA
Rfam family: Bacterial small subunit ribosomal RNA
Source: RNAcentral
GACAGAGGUGCCGAGCGUUAGGCGGAAUCACUGGGCUUAAAGCGUGUGUAGGCGGGUCGUUAAGUGCCUUGUGAAAUCCCCCGGCUCAACCGGGGAACGGCUGGGCAUACUGGCGACCUUGAGCCACCUAGGGGCGAGCGGAACAAGCGGUGGAGCGGUGAAAUGCGUAGAUAUCAUUUGGAACGCCAAUGGUGAAAACAACUCGCUGGGGGUGUGCUGACGCUGAGACACGAAAGCCAGGGGAGCGAACGGG